UAGUCCACGCCGUAAACGAUGGUCACUAGCUGUUCGGCGUAAGCUGAGUGGCUAAGCGAAAGUGAUAAGUGACCCACCUGGGGAGUACGUCGGCAACGAUGAAACUCAAAGGAAUUGACGGGGGCCCGCACAAGCGGUGGAGCAUGUGGUUUAAUUCGAUGAUACGCGAGGAACCUUACCAGGGCUUAAAUGUAGAUUGCAUUAGUUAGAGAUAGCUAUUUCUUCGGACCAUCUACAAGGUGCUGCAUGGUUGUCGUCAGCUCGUGCCGUGAGGUGUCAGGUUAAGUCCUAUAACGAGCGCAACCCCUGUUGUUAGUUGCCAGCGAGUCAUGUCGGGAACUCUAGCAAGACUGCCGGUGCAAACCGUGAGGAAGGUGGGGACGACGUCAAAUCAUCACGGCCCUUACGUCCUGGGCUACACACGUGCUACAAUGGUAGGGACAGAGAGCAGCCACUUCGCGAGAAGGAGCGAAUCUAUAAACCCUAUCACAGUUCGGAUCGG
This 502-nucleotide ribosomal RNA is filed under the name uncultured bacterium. RNAcentral describes it as "bacterial SSU rRNA". It matches the Rfam family "Bacterial small subunit ribosomal RNA", at positions 791 to 1301 of the family's 1533-position model. The record is from RNAcentral.